UCUUUGCAAAUCGUAAAAGAACAGGAUCGACACACAAUAUUUGGUAACAGUCAUGAAGAGAAGUGUUAAUUUUUUUUCAGCCAAGUGAAGUGAAUCUCUGCUCUAAAGCAUCAUUUUCAGCAUUUUUGGUAGAAGAAACUGACAUGCAGAGAGGCUAAACUGCCAAAGACAUAAACAAGAAUCUCCUGGGUGUGCCUGCUAUCCUGCCCUUGUUUUGCACUCUGUUCCUCAGAACUGCAUUCUAAAACUGUACCUGUGGUUAUUUAAGACCGCAUUCUCCUUGAAUAGCCUUUCAUGUAGCUCAAAAGGGCCUAUUUCAUGUCCUAAGAGGAGAAGGAAAUAAAUCAAAGUGACUUUUCCCAUC
Molecule: non-coding RNA, 364 nt
Organism: Peromyscus maniculatus bairdii (prairie deer mouse)
Lineage: Eukaryota; Metazoa; Chordata; Mammalia; Rodentia; Cricetidae
Source: RefSeq, a predicted model, not a curated record